RNAcentral lists this ribosomal RNA (310 nucleotides) under uncultured bacterium. Its description in RNAcentral is "partial 16S ribosomal RNA". It matches the Rfam family "Bacterial small subunit ribosomal RNA", at positions 503 to 809 of the family's 1533-position model. The record is from RNAcentral.
AAGAGACAGCAGCAGCCGCGGUAAUACGAAGGGUGCAAGCGUUACUCGGAAUUACUGGGCGUAAAGCGUGCGUAGGCGGCUUCUUAAGUCGGAUGUGAAAUCCCUGAGCUUAACUUAGGAAUUGCAUUCGAUACUGGGAAGCUAGAGUAUGGGAGAGGAUGGUAGAAUUCCAGGUGUAGCAGUGAAAUGCGUAGAGAUCGGAAGGAACAUCUGUGGCGAAGGCGACUAUCUGGGCCAACACUGACACUGAGGCACGAAAGCGUGGGGAGCAAACAGGAUUAGAUACCCCUGUAGUCCCUGUCUCUUAUAA